Molecule: ribosomal RNA, 497 nt
Filed under: uncultured bacterium
Lineage: Bacteria
Description: partial 16S ribosomal RNA
Rfam family: Bacterial small subunit ribosomal RNA
Source: RNAcentral
GAUGAACGCUGGCGGCGUGCCUAAUACAUGCAAGUCGAGCGAACAGACGAGGAUCUUGCUCCUCUGACGUUAGCGGCGGACGGGUGAGUAACACGUGGAGAACCUACCUAUAAGACUGGGAUAACUUCGGGAAACCGGAGCUAAUACCGGAUAAUAUAUUGAACCGCAUGGUUCAAUAGUGAAAGACGGUUUUGCUGUCACUUAUAUAGGUUUCCGCGCCGCAUUAGAUAGUUGGUAAGGUAACGGUUUACCAAGACGACGAUACAUAGCCGACCUGAGAGAGUGAUCGGCGACGCUGGAACUGAGAGACGGUCCAGACUCCUACGGGAGGCAGCAGUAGGGAAUCUUCCGCAAUGGGCGAAAGCCUGACGGAGCAACGCCGCGUGAGUGAUGAAGGUCUUCGGAUCGUAAAACUCUGUUAUUAGGGAAGAACAAAUGUGUAAGUAACUAUGCACGUCUUGACGGUACCUAAUCAGAAAGCCACGGCUAACUACGUG